GAUGAACGCUGGCGGCGUGCCUAAUACAUGCAAGUCGAACGCUGGAAAUCUAGCUUGCUAGGUUGAAGGAGUGGCGAACGGGUGAGUAAUACAUAAGCAACCUACCCACGAAGACUGGGAUAAUCUCUGGAAACGGGGACUAAUACCGGAUAGGUAAUCGGAAGGCAUCUUCUGAUUAUUAAAGGUUAAAAACACUGGUGGAUGGGCUUAUGGCGCAUUAGUUAGUUGGUGAGGUAACGGCCCACCAAGACGAUGAUGCGUAGCCGGCCUGAGAGGGUGAACGGCCACAUUGGGACUGAGACACGGCCCAGACUCCUACGGGAGGCAGCAGUAGGGAAUUUUCGGCAAUGGGGGAAACCCUGACCGAGCAACGCCGCGUGAGUGAUGACGGCCUUCGGGGUGUAAAGCUCUGUUGUAAGGGAAGAACGGUAGAUAGAGAAUAUCUAAAUGACGGUACCUUACCAGAAAGCCACGGCUAACUACGUG
Molecule: ribosomal RNA, 486 nt
Filed under: uncultured bacterium
Lineage: Bacteria
Description: partial 16S ribosomal RNA
Rfam family: Bacterial small subunit ribosomal RNA
Source: RNAcentral